This 429-nucleotide ribosomal RNA is filed under the name Pantoea sp. R-45717. RNAcentral describes it as "bacterial SSU rRNA". It matches the Rfam family "Bacterial small subunit ribosomal RNA", at positions 63 to 484 of the family's 1533-position model. The record is from RNAcentral. Lineage: Bacteria; Pseudomonadati; Pseudomonadota; Gammaproteobacteria; Enterobacterales; Erwiniaceae.
CGGACGGUAGCACAGAGAGCUUGYUCUYGGGUGACGAGUGGCGGACGGGUGAGUAAUGUCUGGGGAUCUGCCCGAUAGAGGGGGAUAACCACUGGAAACGGUGGCUAAUACCGCAUAACGUCGCAAGACCAAAGAGGGGGACCUUCGGGCCUCUCACUAUCGGAUGAACCCAGAUGGGAUUAGCUAGUAGGCGGGGUAAUGGCCCACCUAGGCGACGAUCCCUAGCUGGUCUGAGAGGAUGACCAGCCACACUGGAACUGAGACACGGUCCAGACUCCUACGGGAGGCAGCAGUGGGGAAUAUUGCACAAUGGGCGCAAGCCUGAUGCAGCCAUGCCGCGUGUAUGAAGAAGGCCUUCGGGUUGUAAAGUACUUUCAGCGGGGAGGAAGGCGAYGSGGUUAAUAACCGCGUCGAUUGACGUACCCGCAG